UACGUAGGGAGCAAGCGUUAUCCGGAUUUACUGGGUGUAAAGGGCGCGCAGGCGGGCCCGCAAGUUGGGAGUGAAAUCCGGGGGCUUAACCCCCGAACUGCUUUCAAAACUGCGAGUCUUGAGUGAUGGAGAGGCAGGCGGAAUUCCGUGUGUAGCGGUGAAAUGCGUAGAUAUACGGAGGAACACCAGUGGCGAAGGCGGCCUGCUGGACAUUAACUGACGCUGAGGCGCGAAAGCGUGGGGAGCAAACAGG
This 253-nucleotide ribosomal RNA is filed under the name uncultured bacterium. RNAcentral describes it as "partial 16S ribosomal RNA". It matches the Rfam family "Bacterial small subunit ribosomal RNA", at positions 524 to 776 of the family's 1533-position model. The record is from RNAcentral.